Callithrix jacchus (white-tufted-ear marmoset) is the source of this 970-nucleotide long non-coding RNA. RefSeq lists it as uncharacterized. The record is from RefSeq and is a predicted model, not a curated record. NCBI's taxonomy places the organism in Eukaryota, Metazoa, Chordata, Mammalia, Primates, Cebidae.
GGAAGAUGGCAGGAGGGGGAGCCGAACGAAGAGUGAGCAAGCCAGGCAGAAGGCCCAGCCGUUCUGCUGCAGAGCCGGGAGGGGAUGCCUGCUUCUGAUUCUGACAAGGACUCCACCCCCACAGUACAGUACUAGAAAUAUCUGCACAGCAAUCCUGCAGCCGCUCCACCACGAACAAGUCAAACAACUGAGGCACAACCUAAGGGCAACACACUCUAUCCCAACUCCGGCAGUACCCUCUGCCUAUGAAGCAGCCAGUCCUGCAUCCUGUCAAGACACCUCACUGCCACUUUCUGACAGCCCCUUGAACAAGUAUUGCUCACACCUCUGCACACCGAUUCCCCAAUCCCCAGACCACCGGCUCGGAUGAAGCUCAAACUGCAUACACACUCCUUUCAGUCUAUAGGAGGAAGGGAAGGAGCACAUUCUGGGUGGAGCCUGGAAACAGAGCAAGAGUCCAUCUUAAAACAACACCACCAACAACAAAAUAUCUGUGGCCGAGUGUCGUGGCUCACACCCAUAAUCCCAGCACUUUGGGAGGCCAAGGUGGGCAGAUUAUGAGGUCAGGAGAUGGAGACCAGUCUGGCCAAUAUGGUGAAACCCCAUCUCUACUAAAAAUACAAAAAUUAGCCGGGUGUGGUGGUACGCGCCUGUAGUCCCAGCUACUCAGGAGGCAGAAGCAGAAGAGUCGAUUGAACUUGUGAGGUGGAGGUUGCAGUGAGUCGAGAUGGUACCACUAAACUCCAGCCUGGACACAGAGUAAGACCGCUUUUCAAAACAAACAAACAAAACAAAUCUGUAAGCCUGGACACCUGGGACUUAAGAAAACAAAAAGUCUGGCUUGGCUGGGUAAGGUGGCUCAGGCCUGUAAUCCCAGCACUUUGGGAGGUCGAGGCAGGAAGACUGCUCAAGGCAAGGAGUUCAAGAUUCAAGACCAGCCUGGUGAAAACAGCAAGACCUCAUUGCUAAA